Molecule: ribosomal RNA, 492 nt
Filed under: uncultured bacterium
Lineage: Bacteria
Description: partial 16S ribosomal RNA
Rfam family: Bacterial small subunit ribosomal RNA
Source: RNAcentral
AGUGAACGCUGGCGGUAGGCCUAACACAUGCAAGUCGAACGGCAGCACAGUAAGCGCUUGCUCUUACGGGUGGCGAGUGGCGGACGGGUGAGGCAUACAUCGGAAUCUACUUUUUCGUGGGGGAUAACGGAGGGAAACUUACGCUAAUACCGCAUACGACCUACGGGUGAAAGCAGGGGAUCUUCGGACCUUGCGCGAUUGAAUGAGACGAUGUCGGAUUAGCUAGUUGGCGGGGUAAAGGCCCACCAAGGCGACGAUCCGUAGCUGGUCUGAGAGGAUGAUCAGCCACACUGGAACUGAGACACGGUCCAGACUCCUACGGGAGGCAGCAGUGGGGAAUAUUGGACAAUGGGCGCAAGCCUGAUCCAGCCAUACCGCGUGGGUGAAGAAGGCCUUCGGGUUGUAAAGCCCUUUUGUUGGGAAAGAAAAGCAGCAGGUUAAUACCCCGCUGUUCUGACGGUACCCAAAGAAUAAGCACCGGCUAACUUCGUG